Molecule: transfer RNA, 72 nt
Filed under: Camelus bactrianus (Bactrian camel)
Lineage: Eukaryota; Metazoa; Chordata; Mammalia; Artiodactyla; Camelidae
Also listed under: 2 other names
Rfam family: tRNA
About the family: Transfer RNA (tRNA) molecules are approximately 80 nucleotides in length. Their secondary structure includes four short double-helical elements and three loops (D, anti-codon, and T loops).
Source: Rfam by way of RNAcentral
GAGGGUAUAGCUCAGUGGUAGAGUGCAUGCCUAGCAUACAUGAGGUCCUGGGAUCAAUCCCCAGUACCUCCA